UCGGCAUGUACCUGAAGGACAAGGACAGCCCGGGCUUCUCGCGUCCGGGAUUCGCCUCGAUGUUCAAGCUCCUGCGCCGAUCC
Molecule: transfer RNA, 83 nt
Filed under: Herbiconiux flava
Lineage: Bacteria; Bacillati; Actinomycetota; Actinomycetes; Micrococcales; Microbacteriaceae
Description: tRNA-Glu
Source: RNAcentral